This 4003-nucleotide long non-coding RNA is filed under the name Sus scrofa (pig). RNAcentral's name for it is "lncRNA (ENSSSCG00015078217.1)". The record is from RNAcentral. Lineage: Eukaryota; Metazoa; Chordata; Mammalia; Artiodactyla; Suidae.
AUUUGAGAAAGAAAGCAGAAUGACAGAUACGUUUAAAAUUAACAGGAGAUCCCAUCGUGGCUCAGUGGUUAACGAAUCCAACCAUGAGGUUGCAGGUUCGAUCCCUGGUCUCGCUCAGUGGGUUAAGGAUCCAGCAUUGCCGUGAGCUGUGGUGUAGGUCGAAGACAUGGCUCGGAUCCCACGUUGCUGUGGCUAUGGUGUAGGCCGGCAGCUACAGCUCCGAUUAGAACCCUAGCCUGGGAAGCUCCAUAUGCCACUGGUAUGGCCCUGGAAAAUAUAAAUAAAUAAAUUAAUUUAAUUUAAUUAACAAUAUAGGAUCAUUGGGAAAAAUGUUUUCCAGAUCACAGGAGAUUGAUCCCUUUAUAUAGAUUCAGUUUGGGAUACUUCUUCAAGUCUAGGGGAACUAGGACAGCCAGCCAUUGGUGUCUUGCAUGGCACUGUUGGCAAGAUGGCAUUUAGUAGAAAGCAGGUUCACAAGACUGAGCUAGUCCCAGAGAGGAUGGUGGAGUCUCUCAGUUGAUUCCAGCAAUACCGUAUGUGAAGCACCUUAGCUAACAUCCAAUCACAAAAGCAAUCCCCUUGAGCAGAAAACACCUUUUUUGUGUGCAAAGUUGACUAGUGAUCCUCUGAACUCAUCUCAAGUUCCAUAUAAAAAUGUGCUCUGCUAGAGUAUUUUCCAUCAUGCUUUUGACCCAAGCUCUCAUUUCUGUGGGUUAUUGAGAGCUGAGUGAUUGUGGGCUUUCAAAUGUCUCUCUCCUUCAAGGAUAUUCACAGUAAAUCUUAUUGCUACUGGUAUAUACUCACUCAUGCCUUUUGCAAGCCAACUGUGGAUAAACUAGACUGUACCCAGACUAGGAAGGGAUGUGAAAUUGUUUUUAAAGAAAGACAAAUGGAAUAUCUAACUGGAAUUAGAGGAAAUUAGAAGAGGCAAAGCAGGAAGAUACAGGUCUAAAAAUGAAAGACCUGGUAUUUGGAAAGAACGGUUUAUUUUAAGGCACAACUGGGAACAAGAGGCAGAAAUGAAGAGAAGGCAGUGUUCUGUUUAAUGAAGGAGAAUUUUUCCGAUGUUAAAGUUGUUCAUUAAUUUAAUGAUCUGCUUUGGAAAGUGAAGAGUUCCUGAUGUGGAGUAUUCUCAAGCAUAGGCUAGAUGACAAUUUGGUAGAAAAUUUGGAAGAGACUCAUAGUAGACGGGAGUUUAAGCUAAUGGACUUUGAGUUCCCUAUCUAUUUAUUUUGAGUACUCAUAGUGGCUCAAAGAAGGCUAGCACAUUGCUAGAAAAUGGCCAUAGGGAACUAAUUAAUCUAAGCGUUUAUUGAAUACGAUGUUCUAAGAGAUACAGGGAGUGUAUAGUAGACUAUAAAGGAUUAUUUUCAUGCCCUUGAUUAGUAGGUUACAUAUAAAAAUGUCUGCAACUAAUUUGAAAUUUGAAAAUAGUGAUUAAUCUUUACAUAUUUUAAAAUUCAUACAUUUAAAUUAAUUUACAUGGGAUUUACAACUUUCCUAUAGAAAGCAAAGAAAAAAUCAUUUCAACCCUUCUCUGAAACUUCUCUGAAUAAUUAAGCAUUGCAUUAAUAUAUUUUAGUUAUCUUUUUGGCUGAGAAUCUUUACUUUUGUAUUUUUAGCUCUUAGUAAAAUACCUGGCUUUUUGUUGGUGUUUAAUAAAUGUCAUUUUACUUGAACCGAAUUGAUGCAUAAUCUGUAUUUUCUAUUUAACAGAUAUAAUUUCUUUGGUUAAUAUUAUUAACAAAAAUAGGAAAGUGGAUUUGGAGGCAAAGACACUGCACACUUGCAAAGCAAAAGUAUUUUGUGUCCUACAACGGGUAAAAUUUAGGCUGACCUAUGCCAACAUCUUUAUUAAUUCUUCAGGUACUGAAAAUAGCUGUAGGCUAUAGAAAAUAAUUUACUCUGAAAAACAGUGGGGGACAUUUUAAAAAGAUUACCAAGAAAAGGGUUAUUUUAACUGAAAAACAAUCAGAGUGGAUCUGAGGAAAUACAAAACAAAAAAUGUGAAAGCAGGAUAGUGCUGAUUACAUGUUCUUUGUUAAUUUAUAUUUGGCUGCAUUGUGCUCUUUACAAAGUGCUUGUAUGUGUGCUAAAAUCUGCUGAUUAUUAGUAGUAAAUUUUCUUUUCUUCUCUUAUAAAUUGUCAAAUUAUUUAUCUGUGCUCCUGGCAGAGCUAUUGUUGAAUGCAGGAAGCUUUCCAUAGUACUCAGUUACCAUCAGGACAGAAUUUUCUUCAGUCCUCGACACUUUCAGGACAACUUAUUUGUCUGGAACAUCAAGGGCCAUUUUUAGCCAAAGAAAAUAUCUCCGUGAUCAUGAAUUUGUUCCUUUUAUUCAUAGCUUCAUUUUUCAAGUUCAAAAUUAAAAACAAAGAUAGCUUACAUUAUGAUUGAAGCAAAAAGCUAUAUCAGGAAAAGAAAAUAAAUCAUGUGAAAUGUAGCUUAAAAUAAGUAUUUGAUCAUUAUGCAAUGUUCUCAAUGAACUGCUGAUGAGAUGUGGGACUUAGAGUCAUUACCAAAAUGCAAGUAAAACCUAUUCUAGAAACUAAGGUAAAGGUACAAUAAGUAACUAAGCCCAUUUUUGUUUUCCUAAAAAACACCUGUUUCUUACACAAAUGAGGAAGAUUGUUUUUGGCAUUCCUUCCUUUCCAGGUACCGUUUUAUUAUUCUAUGACUCUCUCUAGUAGCCAGAAAACUAUACGCUGCCCAGGUUGGCCUGUACAUAUUGAUGCAUGGGACUUUAAGUAAAUCAAAAUCAGUGAAUGUCUCAUUAGUGAGUAUAGUAGUUUUCUAGGGCUGUCAUAACUCAAUACCGUAGCCUGGGUGGCUUAAAUAACAGAAAUUCGUUUUCUCACCCUUCUGAAGACUAGAAGUCUGACUUCAGGUAUCAGCAAGUUUGGUUUCUCCUGAGGCCUCUUUUUUGGCUUGCAGAUGACCGCCUUCUCAGUGUGCCUUCACAUGGUCCUUUUUUCUGCACCAGUAUCCCUAGUGUCUCUAUCUAUGUUAAAAUUCUUCUCCUUUAGGAUGAACCCUAACCCAAGCUGAACACCUGUCAGUUGGGAUUAGGGUCCAUCCUAAAGUCCUGAUUUUAACUGAAUCACUUAUGUAAAGACUUGAUCUCCACCAUAGUCCUAUUCAGAAAUACCAGCAUUAGGGCUUCAUUAUAUGAAUUUUGGCAGGAAAUUAUUCAGCCUAAAAUUUCUGGGGGUGUUAACAGUGAGGUACAAUAUUUAUGCAGGAGAAAUCUGGUUGAUUAUCAUGUUCAAUACCUUUAUUUAAGCAUAAAGCUGUACACCUUUAUGUACAGUGAGAGAGAGAGAAUCUUCAGGAUUCUGAAGACCAAAUUAGGAAGGCUAGAGUAACAGUUUGGAAGGCACCUAGUAGUCAAACGAGAACUCAAGAAAUAGUACACUUAUCAUUUUGGAUGUCAUGAAAUAGGUGAAAUAUAUUAGAAAGAAUAGGAUUUCCGUGUCACAUGACAUUUCAAAAAUGUUUAUACCACUUCCUUGAAUUAAUUUCUUAUAUGGUAUUUUUAUUAUUAAAACUCAUUCCAAAUAAUGUUAAUUAGACAUCCAAUAAGCAACAAGGGCAUACAAUGCCUAUAAUUUCUAAUGCUCCCAGUUUUUGAAGAACUACUAAUAUAUAUAUAUAGAUCCAAAAAACAAAAAUCAAUUACUUGUGAGAGUAUAAGAAAUCUGUACUUAGAGGGUACUAUUAAAUCAAGCCCACUCUUACAUACAUACAUAUAUAUACAUGUUAUUCCAGUUGCAUAAGAAAGUCACAGGGGUAUGUUCCAAAAUGAUAAACCCUAAGAAAGUAAUUCAAAGGCUUUAGCUUUUAGAAUCUAAUAUACUUUACCCCAAUUGCUAGAUGCUGUAUUCUCCUCUGAAAACCAUAGGCAUCCACCAAAGUGGGGAACACAGCAGUCACCUCAUUUUUGUCUCACACUUGGAAUAGAUGAAAGGAAAGGAAAAUUAUAAAACACAUCCCUUAUGAACAUCU